This 98-nucleotide microRNA precursor is filed under the name Brachypodium distachyon (stiff brome). RNAcentral's name for it is "miR1878 stem-loop (bdi-MIR1878)". It matches the Rfam family "MIR1878 microRNA precursor family". The record is from miRBase by way of RNAcentral. Lineage: Eukaryota; Viridiplantae; Streptophyta; Magnoliopsida; Poales; Poaceae.
UCACUAUUGCAAACUUAGUCUGAACACUAUAAAAAAUGCUCAUGUAAAAAUAUGCGCAUCAUAGAUUUGUAGUGUUCAGAUUGAGUUUACAGUAGUUG